Molecule: ribosomal RNA, 311 nt
Filed under: Amphiascoides environmental sample
Lineage: Eukaryota; Metazoa; Arthropoda; Copepoda; Harpacticoida; Miraciidae
Description: SSU rRNA
Rfam family: Eukaryotic small subunit ribosomal RNA
Source: RNAcentral
UAGCAUAUGUUAAAGUUGUUGCGGUUAAAAAGCUCGUAGUUGGAUCUCGGCGGGUCGGGGGCGGUUCGAUUUAUGUCGUGACUGCCCCACUGACCCGUGUUUUUGGCGGAGGUCGUCGGGUGCUCUUAAUCGAGUGUCCUACGGCGCCGUCAGGUUUACUUUGAAAAAAUUAGAGUGCUCCAGGCAGGCUUGACACGCCUGAAUAGUCGUGCAUGGAAUAAUGGAAUAGGACGUCGUUUCUAUUUUGUUGGUUUUCGGAUAUCGACGUAAUGAUUAAUAGGGACAGUCGGGGGCAUUAGUAUUCAGACGAC